CAGCCGCCGCGGUAAUACGGAGGGUGCAAGCGUUAUCCGGAUUCACUGGGUUUAAAGGGUGCGUAGGCGGGUUAGUAAGUCAGUGGUGAAAUCCCGGAGCUCAACUUGGGAACUGCCAUUGAUACUAUCUGUCUUGAAUAUUGUGGGGGUAAGCGGAAUAUGUCAUGUAACGGUGAAAUGCUUGAAUCUGACAUAGGACCACCCAUUGCGAAGGCAGCUUGCUAAUAUGGAUCUGAGCUGAGGGAUGAAAGCGUGGGGAGCGAUCCGAUUAGAUACCCUGGUAGUCCACGCCCUAACUAUGAAUACUCGAUGUUGCGAUACACUGUUGGUGUCUAAGCUAAAGCAUUAAGUAUCCCACCUGGGAAGUACGUUCGCCAGAAUGAAACUCAAAGGAAUUGGCGGGUUGAGCGGGG
This 413-nucleotide ribosomal RNA is filed under the name uncultured archaeon. Its description in RNAcentral is "bacterial SSU rRNA". It matches the Rfam family "Bacterial small subunit ribosomal RNA", at positions 509 to 934 of the family's 1533-position model. The record is from RNAcentral.